Molecule: ribosomal RNA, 459 nt
Filed under: uncultured bacterium
Lineage: Bacteria
Description: partial 16S ribosomal RNA
Rfam family: Bacterial small subunit ribosomal RNA
Source: RNAcentral
CCUACGGGAGGCAGCAGUGAGGAAUAUUGGUCAAUGGUCGGGAGACUGAACCAGCCAAGUCGCGUGAGGGAGGACGGUACAGAGUAUCGUAAACCUCUUUUGUCAGGGAACAAAGACUGGGACGCGUCCCCGGAUGAGUGUACCUGAAGAAAAAGCAUCGGCUAACUCCGUGCCAGCAGCCGCGGUACUACGGAGGAUGCGAGCGUUCUCCGGAUUUAUUGGGUUUAAAGGGUGCGCAGGCGGUCUGUUAAGUCAGCGGUAAAAGCUCGGGGCUCAACCCCGGCGCGCCGUUGAAACUGGUGGUCUCGAGUUGGAGAGAAGUAUGCGGAAUGCGCGGUGUAGCGGUGAAAUGCAUAGAUAUCGCGCAGAACUCCGAUUGCGAAGGCAGCAUGCCGGCUCCACACUGACGCUGAGGCACGAAAGCGUGGGUAUCGAACAGGAUUAGAUACCCCUGUAGUC